GGUUGAUUGGUUUGGUAGAUUUCAUUUCUUUUUUCCUACUGUUGUUGGUGUUAAUUUUCUCGGUGGAUUUUCUUCUUGGCGUUUUUCAGUUUUAUCGAGCCGUAUGAUAUAGGCAACAGACACACAGUGCUAUGAUUGCGCGCCGAAAAGCAUGUUUCUUUUUUUUAAAGUUUGAUAUAGUUAUUUAUACGUACCGUUUGUAUCUUUUGAACGCGUUCUUGAACAACACGAAGAAAGCAGAGAAUGAAAAACAACCCACAACGUGUAGUGUACGCGAGCGAAAAGUAUCUCUUUGCUGCUGUCUGCAAUUGCUGAUUUCAAUUGAAUGGAAAAUCUAUGCGCUGUGACUGUACAGUGUGUGUACUUUUUCGAUUGUUGUUGUUGUUGUUGUUGGUAUGGCAGAGAGAACGUGGAAACGAAUACUCACCAGUUAAAUAAAAUACACGAGAGCAAAAGGAAGAAAAAAUGCACGACGUCACAACAUACACCGAUUACAACAAUAACGUCGCAUUUGGAAAAGGAGAAUGAGCACGGGCAAACCAAUAUUCAUAUGAACAACAACAAGAACAACAGCAGCAGCAGCAACAGCAGCAGCAAGGGAGGAAAAAACAACGUAUUUUAUAUGCACGCAAAUACCAUGUGCGGCGUCGGCGAUUUAAGCGUCUCGUUCGAAUUUCGAUGUGAUAUUUAUUGGUGUAUUGUAUCCAUGCGUGUCAGCGUGUACGUGUGCUCCCGCGUACGUGUGUAUGUGUAUUUGUGUAAGUCCGCGCGCAAACAGGAUUUUCCAUAUCUCUGGCUUGCGCUGGUACACAUUGCUGCAUAAAGGUAAACGACGACGACGAGGACAACGAUGGCAGCGGAGGUGGUGGCGGACCGUUCGUAUUCAUCCCCAACUCAAUUUCUCCACUUUUCCAAGCGCCCGUAAGCGUGCAUACCUCAAUUUUGUUAGUGUACUCUCUUUUUUUUCUGCUGCUCGCCUCUCGAAUUCGCUUUAUGAUGACUGCUAACGAUUGUAAUCGACAUAUAAACAAUAAUAUAUCGAUAUAUGAUACAUUCAGUUCGAUUGCUGGCGCUUGCACACUUUCGACGGCACAAAGGAGAAAGAGAGAAAAGGAAGAACGAACAAAUGUAAAACGGAACGGAAGCCAAUACCACCAAAAAGAAGAAUGUAAAUAGAGUAGAGAAUUGGAAAACUACCGGAACAAUGUGAAAAUCGAUGUUGAAAGUUCAAAUGGAACAUUUUAUUGAUUAACUGUGUGGUAUUUGCGAGGCUAAAAACUAUAUACAACUCAUGGAUGUGCAACGCAUUUCGUUGUCAUUUCCAACCAUUUUCUCCGCAGAACGAGUUGGCUACGGCCAGUGCGGGCAAUAAAAAAAUAAAGUUACGAUCAACCUUUAUACGAAAUAAAAAACUCCAUAUGUUAUUCGCUUUGUAAAUUACAAUUCGAAUUGAUUGAA
Molecule: long non-coding RNA, 1458 nt
Organism: Sitodiplosis mosellana (orange wheat blossom midge)
Lineage: Eukaryota; Metazoa; Arthropoda; Insecta; Diptera; Cecidomyiidae
Exons: 3
Source: RefSeq, a predicted model, not a curated record